This is a long non-coding RNA of Lemur catta (Ring-tailed lemur), 955 nucleotides long. RefSeq lists it as uncharacterized. The record is from RefSeq and is a predicted model, not a curated record. Lineage: Eukaryota; Metazoa; Chordata; Mammalia; Primates; Lemuridae. The transcript is spliced from 3 exons.
GAGGCCAGGAGAGUCACCGUGAAACCUGGAAGAAAUAAAAGACGCCUGAUGGUGGAUUACUACAACCUUAACGACGUGGCCCCACCCACGAAGGGCCCCCCACACAAUACCCGGCCACCCAUGGGGAACCCCAACAGCUCUGCCACCGCACACAAGUUUUGCAGACAAGACCUUAAUUAACUACAUCCACCUUGCUCCAGGAGCACAGGACAUCCCGGACCCAUGUCCCAUGACGUUGCCCAGAAGCUCACAGCUGGAGACGACAUCACCUCAGACAGCGUCACCCCAGCCCGAGACCUCGCUGUUGCAGAUGCUGUCCCCCUACAGUAGAGACGACUGCACCUUACACAGUAAGCUUCCACCCCAGCGACACCCACAGAACGCCUUUCCUAAGGCAUUGACAAAGUGGACUCGGGCCAUUUACUGCCUUUUUUCCUUUGAGGUUAGGAGCACUAUUGAGUCUGCUGAACUUACUGUCUGCCUGGCCCACGAUCCCGGUAUACUCCUCACUCUCUGCCAACACGUGCGCCCUCCCCACCCACGCCUAAAGGGACAUCUGGUGGAGGUCGCUAUUGUCUGUGGCAUUCCGAAGUUAAUGGGGGUUAUUGCUCUUCCCAGGAGCCACCUGCCUCGUGUCGGGGAACCCCUCGACCCCCUGGGGAGAGGACCACCCACUCCCUAGUGACUUCUGCUCCACCCUCCAGCUUCCACCUCCCCCUCCUGCCCUGUAUCUGGGACCGUGACCCCCACAGCCACCCACCCCAAUGUUUACACGCACUUGGCCAACCGCUCAGUUUGCACCCUCUGACCACAUGACUGGUGGUCCUGCCGCCGGACCCGAGAAACAUACCGAGAUAGUAUUGUCAAAAGUUUUUGAGGUAUGUGUACAUAUCUCAUACUUUUAACGCACUUUCUGACCCCACCAAGAUAUUGUUAGAGACCCUGGAAAUUUCAG